This 432-nucleotide ribosomal RNA is filed under the name uncultured bacterium. Its description in RNAcentral is "partial 16S ribosomal RNA". It matches the Rfam family "Bacterial small subunit ribosomal RNA", at positions 29 to 507 of the family's 1533-position model. The record is from RNAcentral.
AACGAACGCUGGCGGCAGGCCUAACACAUGCAAGUCGAGCGAGAUCUUCGGGUCUAGCGGCGGACGGGUGAGUAACGCGUGGGAAUAUGCCUCUUGGUACGGAAUAGCCUCGGGAAACUGGGAGUAAUACCGUAUGUGCCCUUUGGGGGAAAGAUUUAUCGCCAAGAGAUUAGCCCGCGUUGGAUUAGGUAGUUGGUGGGGUAAUGGCCUACCAAGCCGACGAUCCAUAGCUGGUUUGGGAGGAUGAUCAGCCACACUGGGACUGGGACACGGCCCAGACUCCAGGGGGCGGCGGAGGAGGGGAAACUAAGGGAGGGGGGCAAACCUGAUAUAGCCAUGUCCGGGGAGUGGUGAAGGGCUUUGGGUUGUAAAGCCCCUUCAGACGGGAAGAUAAUGACGGUACCAGCAGAAGAAGCCCCGGCUAACUCCGUG